RNAcentral lists this small RNA (118 nucleotides) under Marmota monax (woodchuck). The record is from RNAcentral. Lineage: Eukaryota; Metazoa; Chordata; Mammalia; Rodentia; Sciuridae.
GCUGGGUGAGGUGGCACAGCUUGUAAUUCCAACACUCAGGAAGCUGAGAUGGGAUGAUUGCUUGAGCCCAGGAAUUCCAGACCAGCUACCUGGGCAACACAGUGAGACCCCAUCUCAA